GAUGAACGCUAGCUACAGGCUUAACACAUGCAAGUCGAGGGACCGGCGCACGGGUGAGUAACACGUAUCCAACCUGCCCUUUACUCGGGGAUAGCCUUUCGAAAGAAAGAUUAAUACCCGAUAUAAAGGAUGGGGAUGCGUUCCAUUAGGUUGUUGGUGAGGGAACGGCUCACCAAGCAUUCGAUGGUUAGGGGUUCUGAGGGGAAGGUCCACCACAAUUGAUCUGAGACACAGACCAAUCUCGUACGGAGGGCAGGGGAAUGGAGUAUUAGUCGAGGAGGGCUGGCCUGAACCAGCCAAGUAGCGUAAAGGAGGAAUGGUUAUGAGUGUUAAACUUCUUUUGUAUAAGGAGAGGUAUUAUAUGAAUAAGGAUCGGCUAACUCCGUGCCAGCAGCCGCGGUAAUUC
Molecule: ribosomal RNA, 406 nt
Filed under: uncultured bacterium
Lineage: Bacteria
Description: partial 16S ribosomal RNA
Rfam family: Bacterial small subunit ribosomal RNA
Source: RNAcentral